UGGGGGAUAUUGCACAAUGGGCGAAAGCCUGAUGCAGCGACGCCGCGUGGGGGAUGAAGGCCUUCGGGCUGUAAACUUCUUUUGCUCUGAACAAGGCAUGCCUUUGGGGUGUGUUGAGUGUAGGGGUUGAUUAGCGCCGGCUAACUACGUGCCAGCAGCCGCGGUAAUACGUAGGGCGCGAGCGUUGUCCGGAAUUAUUGGGCGUAAAGGGCUUGUAGGUGGCUGGUUGCGUCUGUCGUGAAAGCUCAUGGCUUAACUGUGGGUUUGCGGUGGGUACGGGCUGGCUUGAGUGCAGUAGGGGAGGCUGGAAUUCCUGGUGUAGCGGUGGAAUGCGCAGAUAUCAGGAGGAAUACCGGUGGCGAAGGCGGGUCUCUGGGCUGUUACUGACGCUGAGGAGCGAAAGCGUGGGGAGCGAACAGG
RNAcentral lists this ribosomal RNA (420 nucleotides) under Fusobacteriota bacterium. Its description in RNAcentral is "Fusobacteria bacterium partial 16S ribosomal RNA". It matches the Rfam family "Bacterial small subunit ribosomal RNA", at positions 355 to 776 of the family's 1533-position model. Lineage: Bacteria; Fusobacteriati; Fusobacteriota. The record is from RNAcentral.